Molecule: ribosomal RNA, 785 nt
Filed under: uncultured bacterium
Lineage: Bacteria
Description: bacterial SSU rRNA
Rfam family: Bacterial small subunit ribosomal RNA
Source: RNAcentral
AGAGUUUGAUCAUGGCUCAGGACGAACGCUGGCGGCGUGCUUAACACAUGCAAGUCGAACGGUAAGGCCCUUCGGGGUACACGAGUGGCGAACGGGUGGGUAACACGUGGGUAAUCUGCCCUGCACAUCGGGAUAAGCCUGGGAAACUGGGUCUAAUACCGAAUAGGACCACAGGACACAUGUCCUGUGGUGGAAAGCUUUUGCGGUGUGGGAUGGGCCCGCGGCCUAUCAGCUUGUUGGUGGGGUGAUGGCCUACCAAGGCGACGACGGGUAGCCGGCCUGAGAGGGUGUCCGGCCACACUGGGACUGAGAUACGGCCCAGACUCCUACGGGAGGCAGCAGUGGGGAAUAUUGCACAAUGGGCGAAAGCCUGAUGCAGCGACGCCGCGUGGGGGAUGACGGCCUUCGGGUUGUAAACCUCUUUCACCAUCGACGAAGGUCCGGGUUUUCUCGGGCUGACGGUAGGUGGAGAAGAAGCACCGGCCAACUACGUGCCAGCAGCCGCGGUAAUACGUAGGGUGCGAGCGUUGUCCGGAAUUACUGGGCGUAAAGAGCUCGUAGGUGGUUUGUCGCGUUGUUCGUGAAAUCUCACGGCUUAACUGUGAGCGUGCGGGCGAUACGGGCAGACUUGAGUACUGCAGGGGAGACUGGAAUUCCUGGUGUAGCGGUGGAAUGCGCAGAUAUCAGGAGGAACACCGGUGGCGAAGGCGGGUCUCUGGGCAGUAACUGACGCUGAGGAGCGAAAGCGUGGGGAGCGAACAGGAUUAGAUACCCUGGUAGUCCAA